RNAcentral lists this transfer RNA (66 nucleotides) under Sinohyriopsis schlegelii. Its description in RNAcentral is "tRNA-Lys". Lineage: Eukaryota; Metazoa; Mollusca; Bivalvia; Unionida; Unionidae. The record is from RNAcentral.
AUCCAUGAUGGCCGAGAUACAGGCAUCGAGCUUUUAACUCGAUCACAGUCACCGAACUUCAGGAUA